GAAGCGAAACAAAAGUAAGAAACGAGUUAAACAAGCAGCAUGCCAUCAGCGGCAGGCCGAAGAGCUUUGAAAACACAGCAGCGCUUUGAAAACACAGCAGCGCCUUCCCAUUCCCGUGAAAAACUGAGGCCCGGCGGAGACGCUUCCUCUUUCCGACGGCCGCGCGGGUCACGGCGCGCUGGGCACUGCCCCGCCAGCGGCACCGCCGGGCCCGCCCGGCCGCGCUGCCCGCGGCACCUCCGGGGCGGCCGCCCGGCCCCGGCCCCGCUCCCGCGGCCUCCUCCCGCCCCGCUCCCGGUGCCACGGGCCACUGGCACCGCGCUCCCUCCACCGCCUGGCAGCUGCUGAACGAAAAGAAGCGUUUCCAGAGCGGAUUUCUUCAGGUUUGACACUGAAAACUGCCUUAUAAGCCUCUCAAGAACUGGACCAGAAGGAGAGGAAGGCAGUGAGGAUAACUGAGCAAUAAAAUCACUCCCUCAGUCACAAGAGGCUUCUUACAAAGCUGGACUUAGGAUAUGAGAACACCUCAAAGACAGCUGAGGACAAAUAUAAGGCAGUUAAAACUCAAAUAAUGCGAAGAAGGUGAAAUGGAACAAGGAUUACAAGUUGUGUGACAAGAUUAUUAUCCAGUGGCCUAAACCCAAGGAAAACAAACAUUUUCUGUUCUGUCACAAGACUCUGCCUCAGUAAAUCCAUAACAGCUCUGGCGUUCCUGGGUUCAUGAAAGGGAUUUGCCAAAUUCAUGGGUCCAUCAGAGCUAUUACAUGCAUUGGCUGAAUUACAUCCUUCCAGGAACCACAGUGUAAGUGCUUCAUCCUGUCAUGAAGAAAUCUUGGCACUCUACCUGAAGGACAGCAGUGCCCAGUCAAAAUGCUUAAAAUCAGAACCUUAACAAGGUGGAUUUAACUGUGCUGCCAUGUUGAGGUGCAAAUUGCUGCAUUGCCUCCUAAAGAAGAAAACUCAUACACGUGAGAGGCCACAUGGAGCUACACCCAGAAAGCUGCUCUUAAUUCAGGUGGGAUGUCAUGUGCUUUCCACUGUCAAAGGAGACUAAAGCAUAAAAAGAGAGAAAAUCUGCAUGUCACAGAUAUUUUGUCAUCACUACUGCUGAUCACUGUGGGAAAGCAUUUUCUAGGGCAGCAAACCAAGUUUUUUCUCUUAAUUAGGUAAGAUAGAAGAGCCUGGGAAUCUCACCCUUCCCUGCUACCUUAUAUAUUUUCCCUGUUCAAAUGCAGCAGGGUGUUUUUUUAAUAUAAAACAUUCCUCCCAUUUUAAUAUAAAUUAUGUAUAAUAUUUUUCAAUACAUUAUUUAGUAAAGGCAUUAUUAGAUAUAGGAAAGUAUUACAUGCAGUUUCUCUGUCACAGUACUGUA
Passer domesticus (house sparrow) is the source of this 1372-nucleotide long non-coding RNA. RefSeq lists it as uncharacterized. The record is from RefSeq and is a predicted model, not a curated record. Lineage: Eukaryota; Metazoa; Chordata; Aves; Passeriformes; Passeridae. The transcript has 3 exons.